RNAcentral lists this ribosomal RNA (439 nucleotides) under uncultured bacterium. RNAcentral describes it as "partial 16S ribosomal RNA". It matches the Rfam family "Bacterial small subunit ribosomal RNA", at positions 339 to 795 of the family's 1533-position model. The record is from RNAcentral.
CUACGGGAGGCACCAGUGAGGAAUAUUGCACAAUGGGGGGAACCCUGAUGCAGCAACGCCGCGUGGAGGAUGACGCAUUUCGGUGUGUAAACUCCUUUUAUAUGUCAAGAAAAUGACGGUAGCAUAUGAAUAAGCACCGGCUAACUCCGUGCCAGCAGCCGCGGUAAUACGGAGGGUGCAAGCGUUACUCGGAAUCACUGGGCGUAAAGGACGCGUAGGCAGGUUGGAAAGUCAGGUGUGAAAUCCUACAGCUUAACUGUAGAACUGCACUUGAAACUUCUAAUCUAGAGUAUGGGAGGGGGAGAUGGAAUUAGGGGUGUAGGGGUAAAAUCCGUAGAUAUCACUAGGAAUACCUAAAGCGAAGGCGAUCUCCUGGAACAUUACUGACGCUAAGGCGUGAAAGCGUGGGGAGCAAACAGGAUUAGAUACCCGUGUAGUC